This 838-nucleotide ribosomal RNA is filed under the name uncultured bacterium. RNAcentral describes it as "bacterial SSU rRNA". It matches the Rfam family "Bacterial small subunit ribosomal RNA", at positions 524 to 1381 of the family's 1533-position model. The record is from RNAcentral.
UACGAGGGAUGCAAGCGUUAUCCGGAAUUAUUGGGCGUAAAGCGUUUGUAGGCGGGCGAGUGUGUUUAAUGUUAAAUCUUAAAGCUCAACUUUGAAAUUGCGUUAAAAACUGCUUGUCUUGAGUAUGGUAGGGGUAAAGGGAAUUCCCAGUGUAGCGGUGAAAUGCGUAGAUAUUGGGAAGAACACUAAACAGCGAAAGCACUUUACUAGGCUAAUACUGACGCUGAGAAACGAAAGGUAAGGUAGCGAAACGGAUUAGAUACCCGUGUAGUCUUACCCGUAAACUAUGGACACUAAACGGUAAAUUUUUAAUUUACUGUUAAAGCUAACGCGUUAAGUGUCCCGCCUGGGGAGUAUGCUUGCAAAAGUGAAACUCAAAGGAAUUGACGGGGGCCCGCACAAGCGGUGGAGCAUGUGGUUUAAUUCGACGGUACACGAAGAACCUUACCAGGAUUUGACAUGCUAGAUAGUUGCUUGAAAGAGUAACGUGCCGUAAGGAAUCUAGACACAGGUGGUGCAUGGCUGUCGUCAGUUCGUGUUGUGAAAUGUUGGGUUAAGUCCCGCAACGAACGCAACCCUUGUCUUUAGUUAUUUUCUAAAGAGACUGCCUGUAAUAAACAGGAGGAAGGUAAGGAUGAGGUCAAGUCAUCAUGCCCCUUAUGUCCUGGGCUACACACGUGCUACAAUGGGAAAGACAAUGAGCUGCAAAUCUGUAAAUUUAAGCAAAUCUCUUAAACUUUCUCGUAGUUCGGAUUGUGGGCUGCAACUCGCCCACAUGAAGUUGGAAUCGCUAGUAAUCGCCAGUCAGCUAUAUGGCGGUGAAUCCGUUCCCGGGCCU